GAAUCUCUCUGGAGAUACGUGCUGAGGGCUCUGUAUUUUUCACACUGAACUUCCAAGAUGAUACAGGUAGUAACUUAAGUCAUAUUAGUGCUGAUUCUGAAAGAGCUUGCCUUCCCAUCAUUCAUCAUCUGCAAGAGGAGGAGAUACAUUCUGCUGAGACCAUGAGCUGAGAAAUACUCCCAGCAGAAUAUUGUAGGAGGAAGUCAAAGGCUAUGCCAUCAAAUGAUCAUCAGUCUUGCCAUCUCCAGGAACCCCUGCAUGAGGUGUAUUAGUAACAACACAGGAGAACCAGUGGGGCAUAGUUUGAUAAAUCUUGAUUUUGGUAGGAAAAGUUUGAAGCCUACUCUGGAGGAGGAGUGGAGAAGUAGACUUGAGAAGAUGGUCUGAGGCUUCCUUUCCCUUUGCGGAUACUCAUCUAUGGCCACAGCUAUGUGUUUUGGGCCAGUUGACGAGCUUGGCAGACCAGCUUGGGUACCCAGUUGGGCCUGGCAGAAGCGGCCGAAGUGGAUUGGAUGGGGCACCAAGGAAUGUUGUGGAACCUUUUCCUCCCGCCUCUAGAUGAGUAUGCCACCACGAAGGGGGCACCACACAUCUUGGUCAUUUACCUGGGAGGCAACGACCUGGGUCUCCUAUAGGGCAGGGCCCUGAGUCUUCAGGCAAUCAAGGAUUUUUGGGACCUAGUAGCCCGAUGGCCCAAGAUGAGGUUGGUCUGGUCCAACUUGCUCCCGAGGACAUUUUGGAGGGGCCAGGGGGGCCCCCUGUGUUUCAACAGGGCACGUAAGAAAGUAAAUAAGGCAGUUGGGAGAGUGAUCACCACCUUAGGAGGAGCAGUAAUACAGCACCCUGACAUACGGGUGCAGGACUCAGCCCUGUACAGGGAGGAUGGAGUGCAUCUCUCCAACCAGGGAAACAAAGUGUUCCUCUGAGACUUGCAAUGUGGUCUUCAAGAAGUGCUAGUGGUGUUAUGAACGGUCUAUAACAUAUCAGAACCAGAGGUACCAACUUAGAAGUAUGGUGAAAUAUAGGCCUGUUUCUGAUUUCAUUUUAUAUUAAGAAAUGAUACCUGAACUCAAGGUGAACUAGGAUGUUGCUCUCCCUGCUCUGAAGGGAGGAGGUGAUCCAGGAUUGUGUUGUUAAAAUGGAUAUGCAAGGAAACACAAAAAAGCCAGGUCUGAAUGCUCUGUAAUCCAUAUGCUAAUACCACUGACUACCAAGUGUCUGUGGAAGGAGCCAGGAGGCUGAUUCACCCCCUUCCUGUUAAUGUUAAAUCCUUGUCAGUGAUUUGAAUUGUUCUCCAUGGAAGUUCAACAUAGCCAAAUGUAUACAGAGAUCCGUCUGUAGAUUUUAAUCUCACCUCACUGAUGCUACAAAUGUAUUGAAUGUCUCACGCACAUAUAUGGUACUUUAAAUAUAAUUACACACUAGAUAAGAGGUACACAAGAAAUAAGAAUGGCUGUCUCACACCAAAUAAGAUCAAUUCUCUUACUAACUCCUCUGAAUUUUAACACCUAUUGGGGAAAGAUGCAAUUUGCAGCAUCUAAGAUGCAGAUUUCCCCACCCCUCCCUUCUCAGCACAGAGUUUACAGAAGAUGAGAUUCAGAGAUCUCUCUGGACUGGCCAAUAUCCUGAAUAAUUAAGAUUUUGUUCAGAAGGUAGCAGCAAAUUGUCACCUUUUUGGACACCCAGGAAAAGAGGAGAUUUUGAAUAGAUUCUAUUCAAGGAUCAAAGAGAAAAACACUAUAAAGAAUGAGGCUUUUAGACAGAGAGUUCAGCAAUCUUUUGCCUAUAGCAAAAAGCUGCUCACGAGGAUCCCAGGGUUUUGCUGCUAAGCCGCGGGGCAAAGCAGGAACUCUGCCAUGGUCAGAGGCUGUCUGUGACUUCUACUGCGCAGUGAGAAAGUCAAGACUCCCCAGCCAUGAUGCCCCGGCUAUCAGCCAUGACCUGAGCACUGCAACAACUCCUGUCUCCGCCAAGCGCCUCACCCCUUCAGCUGAAGUGAUUCUUCUCUCUCAAGCUUCUGUUCCUGGUAAAUAUGCUGCUCCUUUACAAGCCUUGGAAUCCCCUCCAUCCUUUCCCCGCUCCCUUCUCCUUCCCCCCCUUCUUUCCCUCUACUAAUCUCCCCAAAACCGUUCCAGCCCUCAGCCUUCCUCCCCCGCUUCUUUUCUGCCUGUAUCUGAAUUGUAUUAGCCUUUAGGAAGAUUUAAUGCACACACAUAUGUUAGUUAGGAACACGGGUGAAUAUUGGUACUGGUUAGGAUGUUCUGUUUAAAUACUGUUAGCAAUAUUGAUAGAGUGCUCUGCUUUCUGCUUUACUAGAUUAUGUUGUUAGUCUUUAUACUCAAUAAAGCCCAUUGAAUCUUUGA
Hemicordylus capensis (graceful crag lizard) is the source of this 2363-nucleotide long non-coding RNA. RefSeq lists it as uncharacterized. NCBI's taxonomy places the organism in Eukaryota, Metazoa, Chordata, Lepidosauria, Squamata, Cordylidae. The transcript has 3 exons. The record is from RefSeq and is a predicted model, not a curated record.